GACCUCAAAUCAGGUAGGACUACCCGCUGAACUUAAGCAUAUCAAUAAGCGGAGGAAAAGAAACUAACAAGGAUUCCCCUAGUAACUGCGAGUGAAGCGGGAAGAGCUCAAAUUUUGAAUCUGGCGGU
This 128-nucleotide ribosomal RNA is filed under the name Astraeus hygrometricus. Its description in RNAcentral is "partial 25S ribosomal RNA". It matches the Rfam family "Eukaryotic large subunit ribosomal RNA", at positions 1 to 129 of the family's 3401-position model. The record is from RNAcentral. Lineage: Eukaryota; Fungi; Basidiomycota; Agaricomycetes; Boletales; Astraeaceae.